UAUUGGCCUUUUCCUUGUCCCAAAUUAAUCUCAAGUAUAUAAACGAUGUUGGAAUUCCACUAGGUAUACCGUACACGUCUAAUAACUUCCAACAUAGUAUAUGGUUAGUUAUUUGGUUCACGCAAAGGUGUUCUUGAAUCAAAUGGAAAAGCUUGAAUUUUUCACUUGUACUCAAUGCUCUCUUCAUUGUUUCAUCAAUAAGAUUGUUGUUAAUGCUAUAUAUUAACCUAUCUAUAUAUGAAUAAUCUGACUCAUAUAUAAUGCCGGCCUGUUCAAGUUAAUAGCUGAAAACAAUUAGCUAACUAGGUUACUGCGCGCAUGUAGUGCUUGAGUCAUGAUGCAUUAGCCAUGCAUAAUUGAUCAUCAAACUGUAAAUUGUAAGUGACCUCUUCCACUUUGCUUUAGUGCUAAUCACAACUUACGUAAAUGGUUCAAUCGCA
Molecule: long non-coding RNA, 440 nt
Filed under: Fragaria vesca (wild strawberry)
Lineage: Eukaryota; Viridiplantae; Streptophyta; Magnoliopsida; Rosales; Rosaceae
Description: long non-coding RNA (FVES_LNC004477)
Source: RNAcentral